Molecule: ribosomal RNA, 254 nt
Filed under: uncultured bacterium
Lineage: Bacteria
Description: partial 16S ribosomal RNA
Rfam family: Bacterial small subunit ribosomal RNA
Source: RNAcentral
UACGGGGGGGGGCAAGCGUUGUUCGGAAUUACUGGACGUAAAGGGCUCGUAGGCGCCAACUAAGUCAUACGUGAAAUCCCUCGGCUUAACCGGGGAACUGCGUCUGAUACUGGAUGGCUUGAGUUCGGGAGAGGGAUGCGGAAUUCCAGGUGUAGCGGUGAAAUGCGUAGAUAUCUGGAGGAACACCGGUGGCGAAGGCGGAUCUCUGGGCCAUUACUGACGCUGAGGAGCGAAAGCGUGGGGAGCGAACAGGA